GUGAAUCAUCAAAUCUUUGAACGCAAAUUGCACUCUCUGGUAUUCCGGAGAGUAUGCCUGUUUGAGGGUCAGAUUCACUAAAAAUAGGUGUGGUUGCUGCCUUUCGUGGUUACGCACCGGAUUAGGGUCGUCUUGCCUUCGGUUAAGUGACCAAAAAUAUUGCAUGAUUUUUUUCGAACGUAUUCUAAUGAUUUUACGUACGUUUGCGAUAACGAAUACUAGGUGUGGACCUU
This 233-nucleotide unclassified non-coding RNA is filed under the name Glomus sp. Its description in RNAcentral is "partial contains 5.8S ribosomal RNA and internal transcribed spacer 2". The stretch from base 1 to 71 matches the Rfam family "5.8S ribosomal RNA", at positions 84 to 154 of the family's 154-position model. The record is from RNAcentral. Lineage: Eukaryota; Fungi; Glomeromycota; Glomeromycetes; Glomerales; Glomeraceae.